CGAACGGGUGAGUAACGCGUGAGGAACCUGCCGUCUACUCUUGGACAGCCUUCUGAAAGGAAGAUUAAUACAAGAUGGCAUCAUGAGUCCGCAUGUUCACAUGAUUAAAGGUAUUCCGGUAGACGAUGGGGAUGCGUUCCAUUAGAUAGUAGGCGGGGUAACGGCCCACCUAGUCUUCGAUGGAUAGGGGUUCUGAGAGGAAGGUCCCCCACAUUGGAACUGAGACACGGUCCAA
This 235-nucleotide ribosomal RNA is filed under the name uncultured bacterium. RNAcentral's name for it is "partial 16S ribosomal RNA". It matches the Rfam family "Bacterial small subunit ribosomal RNA", at positions 99 to 334 of the family's 1533-position model. The record is from RNAcentral.